Molecule: small nucleolar RNA, 107 nt
Organism: Coffea eugenioides
Lineage: Eukaryota; Viridiplantae; Streptophyta; Magnoliopsida; Gentianales; Rubiaceae
Source: RefSeq, a predicted model, not a curated record
AUUUGAUGUUGAGGACAGAUGGUACAUAAUUUCUUGAAUCUCUCCCAAUAUUCGUAGAAAGAUUCCUCGGGUCUCUGUUUAAUACCACAGAUUUCUUUUCAUAGAUU